UCCCUGGUGGCUCAGCAGGUUAAGGAUUCAGCAUUGUCACUGCUGUGGCUCAGGUUUGAUCCCUGGCCUGGGGA
Molecule: non-coding RNA, 74 nt
Organism: Sus scrofa (pig)
Lineage: Eukaryota; Metazoa; Chordata; Mammalia; Artiodactyla; Suidae
Source: Rfam